This 641-nucleotide ribosomal RNA is filed under the name uncultured bacterium. RNAcentral's name for it is "bacterial SSU rRNA". The stretch from base 1 to 544 matches the Rfam family "Bacterial small subunit ribosomal RNA", at positions 338 to 873 of the family's 1533-position model. The record is from RNAcentral.
CCUACGGGAGGCAGCAGUGGGGAAUUUUGGACAAUGGGCGAAAGCCUGAUCCAGCCAUUCCGCGUGAGUGAAGAAGGCCUUCGGGUUGUAAAGCUCUUUCGCAAGGGAAGAAAACUUAGCUACUAAUAUUAGCUGAGGUUGACGGUACCUUGAUAAGAAGCACCGGCUAACUACGUGCCAGCAGCCGCGGUAAUACGUAGGGUGCGAGCGUUAAUCGGAAUUACUGGGCGUAAAGCGUGCGCAGGCGGUUUUGUAAGUCAGAUGUGAAAUCCCCGAGCUCAACUUGGGAACUGCGUUUGAAACUACAAGACUAGAAUAUGUCAGAGGGGGGUAGAAUUCCACGUGUAGCAGUGAAAUGCGUAGAGAUGUGGAGGAAUACCAAUGGCGAAGGCAGCCCCCUGGGAUAAUAUUGACGCUCAUGCACGAAAGCGUGGGGAGCAAACAGGAUUAGAUACCCUGGUAGUCCACGCCCUAAACGAUGUCUACUAGUUGUUGGUGGAGUAAAAUCCAUGAGUAACGCAGCUAACGCGUGAAGUAGACCGCCUGGGGGAGGUACGGUCGGUCGAGAAGUUAAACGUAACGAAAGAAAGUUAGACGGCGNGAGACGAGCCGACGGACGACGACGAGGGGAGGUUAGGGAG